This 1204-nucleotide long non-coding RNA is filed under the name Carica papaya (papaya). RNAcentral describes it as "long non-coding RNA (CPAP_LNC014129)". The record is from RNAcentral. Lineage: Eukaryota; Viridiplantae; Streptophyta; Magnoliopsida; Brassicales; Caricaceae.
GAGAUGUGGAGGGAAAAGAAAGAAAAAGAACAAGAUGCUACUUCCCAUUGCUGCAAAAUGGGACUGAAUGGCUUGUGGUUCCUCUUCAUGUUUAGGUGACUGCUCUUUGUCUCGAAUCUCUUCUCCUUUCUGCCUACAUUAUGUCUUCACUAAUAUUAUUUUGGCCUCUCUCUUUCAUUUAGAAUCUCUCCUGCUGCUUGACAUUUUUGAUAAUAUAAGAUAAGAGAAAAUUUUGGGACUCACUUGUACAAAUUUACCAAAUUUGUUUAUCUAGACACUAGUUGUAAUAAUUUUUGUGAGCCUAUUUAUUCAGAGUUGGUUUCGGUUAAGCAGCUUUCGAAGAUCUUGAUCUUGGCUUCAAUUUGGUAGAAAGGAAUCAUGAGCAAUGAGUUGGACAGUCUUAGGAACUUGAAACUCUUAGACUUCCAUCUCUAUAAUGAUUUAUAUAGAGAGAUUCACGACGAGAUCGGGAACAUCUCACUAAAUUGCAGAGGCUGUAAACUUGCAUGAAAAAAGUAUGUGGUGUAAUUCCAAAUUGGAUGGUGCAUUUUGACUAAAUUGAAAAUUCUGAAUCUGCCAGAUUGUAUAUUAUGCAAGCAGAUAUUCAUGGAUAUAUUCCUUCAUGGUUGUUUAAUAUGAAGAAUCUGAGUUGUUUGUAUGUUUGGAAAAGUAGACAGCUCUAAAAAAAGCAUGUUUUCAUACCCCAUCUUUGAGAUCUUACAAUGCUCUUGGUCAUAUUCCAACUAGGUUCAAACCUUAGUAGUCUUGAGUUCAAUGAACUUAGCUCAGAUUUCCAGGAAGCCUUUUUCCUCAGUGGCUUACAGGACUAUAUCUAGAGGUUAUGAGUUUACAUCAUAAUAAUAUGCUUUUAAGCACUUUUCCUUAUGGAUUGUUUCAAUCUCACAUGUUAAAAUACCUUGAUUUGUCAAAUAACACUUUCUUUGGACACUUGCCUAAUAGCAUCAAUGAAGUUGCUCGAAUUAAGACGAAUCAUUCAGUCAGUUCGAAUAGAUUCAGUCGAUUUGGUUAACAACAUUUACUUUUCUAUCUUCUUUACAUGUACAUGUGUGUGUAUAUAUAUGUUAACUCGGAUUUUAGAGAAAAUAUACAAUAAAAAUAAUUUUUUUCUAUUUUAUUGAUAUUACUUAGUAAUAUCGAUUCACUGAGUUCUUUCUUCCGUGAUUAACUGCUAGCAUCUGUAACA